RNAcentral lists this ribosomal RNA (253 nucleotides) under uncultured bacterium. Its description in RNAcentral is "partial 16S ribosomal RNA". It matches the Rfam family "Bacterial small subunit ribosomal RNA", at positions 524 to 776 of the family's 1533-position model. The record is from RNAcentral.
UACGAAGGGGGCUAGCGUUGCUCGGAAUCACUGGGCGUAAAGGGUGCGUAGGCGGGUUUUUAAGUCAGAGGUGAAAUCCUGGAGCUCAACUCCAGAACUGCCUUUGAUACUGAAGAUCUUGAGUUCGGGAGAGGUGAGUGGAACUGCGAGUGUAGAGGUGAAAUUCGUAGAUAUUCGCAAGAACACCAGUGGCGAAGGCGGCUCACUGGCCCGGUACUGACGCUGAGGAGCGAAAGCGUGGGGAGCAAACAGG